Molecule: long non-coding RNA, 627 nt
Organism: Passer domesticus (house sparrow)
Lineage: Eukaryota; Metazoa; Chordata; Aves; Passeriformes; Passeridae
Exons: 3
Source: RefSeq, a predicted model, not a curated record
CUGAGAUCCCCAAAACCCCACAAAACCCCAGAAAACACCACAAAAACCCCAAAAAAUCCCAUAAAAUCCCAUAAAACCAGUGAAAAUCCUGAGCCAGGUGUGCCCAGGUGUGCCCAGGUGUCCGCGCGGUUCGUGGCCAUGAUCACCUGGGCACAGGUGAGGGGUCAGGGCACACCUGAGAUCCCCAAAACCCCACAAAACCCCAGAAAACACCACAAAAACCCCAAAAAAUCCCAUAAAAUCCCAUAAAACCAGUGAAAAUCCUGAGCCAGGUGUGCCCAGGUGUGCCCAGGUGUCCGCGCGGUUCGUGGCCAUGAUCACCUGCGCAGGUGACACGGGAGGACACGCGUGGGGACAGGUGAGGUCCCAAAACCUCAUAAAAUCCCAUGAAAUCCCUGAAAAUCCCUGAAAAUCCUGAGCCAGGUGUGCCCAGGUGUGCCCAGGUGUGCCCAGGUGUCCGCGCGGUUCGUGGCCAUGAUCACCUGCGCAGGUGAGGGGUCAGGGCACACCUGAGAUCCCCAAAACCCCACAAAACCCCAGAAAACACCACAAAAACCCCAAAAAAUCCCAUAAAAUCCCAUAAAACCAGUGAAAAUCCUGAGCCAGGUGUGCCCAGGUGUGCCCAGG